This is a long non-coding RNA of Nerophis ophidion (straightnose pipefish), 711 nucleotides long. RefSeq lists it as uncharacterized. The transcript is spliced from 5 exons. The record is from RefSeq and is a predicted model, not a curated record. Lineage: Eukaryota; Metazoa; Chordata; Actinopteri; Syngnathiformes; Syngnathidae.
UUGUAACACGUCUGUUUAAUGUUACUAUAAUAAGUAUUUAUUCGAACUAAAAACAGUCGAACAUCGAGUUGAAAUUCACCCACCACCAAGGGAUCUCCUAACAGAGUCUCCAAUCCUUUUGUCCGAUGACGACGAAGUGAAAGACGAAGAACUUUGUUUGAUCGAUCUUACAAAGUUGGAAGAUGAUUAUCGAGAGGAUUCGCCGGAAGAGACCAACGCGAUCCCUUUAACCCAAUCGCAGUCUGAUUUUCCGUUUACAUCUCUUGCUCACUGGUCUCCCUUAACGCUGGAGGGUCCGUCAACGGCCAUUCCAGGCAGAGGAGAAGGCUUGAUUGCGCCAAAGACUCCAGACAUCGAAUCCUUGCUCCGUGGGGAAAUCAUCGAAAACGACGGUGAAUGUCCAACAGGCACCCGCUGCAACAAACGCAGGAGGAAGCGUAGAUGCGCCCGCCAGCUCGACAAACAUGAUAGAAACAGAAGAAGGCUGAAACAGUACUAUCGUAUACUGGCUCGCACUCUCAUGAAGAUGGCAGACAUGAUUUGAUACAUACUGGUUUGUUAUAUCUGUUCCAUUCGAAUUAUUUUUUCUUUUUUUUCUUUAGAGAAAUAUAAUGGGUGUAGUUCCAUCUGAAUUAGAUGUAGUUAUUGUAGAAGAUGAAGACGUUUGUAAUCAUCAUUUAGAUCCAAACAACCAGAUAGAAUGGGAACCAA